ACCCAGCUGGCACACGACCGACCUUCAACGUUAAAAUAUGGUUGAAAUAAGGUCAGAUGUGUUUUGAACGUUGAAAUAAUGUUGAUAGAACGUUUAAUGUUGAACGGUUGAAAAACAGCCUGCAUAUGACAAGGCUUCAACGUUGAAAUGUGGUUGAAAAUACGUCAGUAGUUGCUUUAAUGUUGAAACAAUGUUGAAUGAUAAAUGGUUGAAAAAAGUUACAGAAAUCCUUGUACAAAUCAACGUUGACAUUUUUUUUUAUCAUGAUCUGUAUGUUGAAUUAACGUCAUGGCUUCACCCAAUAUUCAACAUGUUUGGUUACCAUGGUAUCAGAGGACUCGGCGCACGCGGCCGCGCGCAGCGCUUCACUUCACUUAAUUACGAACACCUGACCUGCAGUGCAGCAGAAUUCAGAGAGAUGUAACUUACUCCAGAGACGCACUAACUUGCACAGCAUUGAAUGGAAAAGGCUUUGUCCAUGUCCAGUUGAGGGGCAUCAAGAACACGCAGAUGGCCUAAACCUGUGUCAGCCUGGACAGACUGCAGUUCUGCUAUUCCACGCCAAGGCUUUUGUAUGGAUGUCUGACUACUGCUGUGUUCUCUAAACUAGGUUAUCUGUAAGCUCCAUUUGAGGUCAUCAAGGACAUACUGAUGGCCUAAACCAGUGUCAGCCUAGACAGACAGACAGACAUCUAUUGCAGUUCUGCUACACAAGACCAAACUCUCUGCUUUUGUAUGGAUGUCUGACUAGUACGGUGUUCUCUAAAGGUAUAACUGGAGCAAAACAACAGCAUCCGUUACAGUGAAAUUUGUGUUCAUAAAAGAUAUGUGUAACAGGUCCAGUACAUUUGUCAUAAAGGUUAAAUCACAGCAAGUACUGUAAAAAUAACUUGUUUGCCUUUGCCACAACAGGUCAUGGUGUGUGCAUACUGCUCGUAGUAAACAUGCUGAUCUGAUGCGGGAGAGAUAUACGCAAACACAUUUGUAUUUACUGUUUUGUUUUGCCUCACUAAAGUGUUGUUGGAGCUUGGUAUGUUCACAGUUGAAAUCACUGAAGUCACAUGGAAUGUUUUGACAAUGUGUUUUGUGCCUUAUCUGGACAAUGACCAUCUUGGGACUAUUGCUGUCUGUAGAGGAUGAGGAGCAUUUAAUCUAAAAUAUUUUAGUUUGUGUUCUGAAGAUUAACAGGUCUCUGGGAUGACACAAGUAAUUAAUAACAGAACCUAUAUGAACACUUAAUGUGACAUGUAAUAGUGAAAUAGUGGUCCUACAUUCACAAAUGUGAGCCAUUAUUAUAAGACCCCUAUGAACAUGCAAUUUUUAUGAUACUAAUAAUAAUAAUGGAAUAACAAAUUGCUUUUAGUGUUGUGUUUGUGAGAGAGAAUCAAACCAUAUAUUCUACACAUUUUCUUGAUGAUUUACUGAAAUAUUUGUCUACAUGUUCCACUGUCACAGGUGCUCAGUUUUGCUGAAGUAAUGCUAAACACAAUAAUACUUUAUG
RNAcentral lists this long non-coding RNA (1501 nucleotides) under Danio rerio (zebrafish). RNAcentral's name for it is "si:ch211-22k7.1 (ENSDARG00000100221.2)". Lineage: Eukaryota; Metazoa; Chordata; Actinopteri; Cypriniformes; Danionidae. The record is from RNAcentral.